Long non-coding RNA from Pan troglodytes (chimpanzee), 1555 nucleotides. RefSeq lists it as uncharacterized. The transcript is spliced from 2 exons. The record is from RefSeq and is a predicted model, not a curated record. Lineage: Eukaryota; Metazoa; Chordata; Mammalia; Primates; Hominidae.
AUCUACCACACAGUCCUUCUCUGAAUCUUGAAUGCAAUUUUUUCUAGAAUGUGUUCUGCUGAUUUGUUUUAGAGCCAUGAGUGCAAUUUAUACACAUAUAUCUAUUGGGAAUGCUCAGAAGUUGUUUACUGAUGGAAGUGCCUUCAGAAGAGUCUGGGGACCACUUCCUAAGGAAGGAAAGAGCUGGCCACAGUUAGAGCAAGCCUGCCUGGGGCCCUGCUCUGUGUUCCAGCUGCAAACUGCCUGCAUCAUCCCUUCCUGUUACUCUUCCUUCACCUGAGACAGUCGAGGCCACAGCAUCAGCCAGGGCCAGAGCUGGGAUUUGAACCCGGGCACUCGGGCUCCAGAGCCACACUGCCCCAGUGUGGGGCUUAGAAGCGGCUCCUGGCCCUGACUGAGGGGCUGACUGAAGCCUGAGCUGCCUUGGGAAACUCAGCAGAGCCCUGGCUUCCUGCAGAGCCGUGUUCUCCCAGCCUGGUUCAUGGCUCCCUGGUUGAGCCAAGCUUGCGGAUCCGUGGGGUGAAGGUACCCGCACCGCCUGGGCCUUAGUGGUAUGUACGGGCCUGCAUUGUGAGCAGCGGGCGGGGGCCCAGGCAGGUGAGGCAGCUGGCCACAAGGGCAGGGCUGGGCCCACCUCCCAAGGCUGUGUCUGAUAUUCGUGAGCCUGUUCAAGUUUCCUUUUCCAAGCCUCCUGCUCUCCCACCCCCACCCCUGCCAUGCUGCAGUGACUAAAUCUGUGGUUCUCAGCCUUGGAGAACACCUGAGUAGCUGCUACAAGCUGGCCACAGCCCAGCCACUCUGAUGUGGUUGGUCUGGGUGUGGCCAGCAGCCAGGGCAUCGGGACUUUUCGAAGAUCCCAGGUGACUCACCGGCAGCUGGGGAUGAGAACUGUCAGGAGGGAAGGUCAGAAGUCCCAGGAUGCACUUGAAAAGCCUCUAGCUCCACCAGUGACCAGCUCCUGGCUGGACUCCUGGUCUCGACUCAGCAUCAGGGAGGCCCUGGCCUCUCGCCCUCAGGGCUGGGGGCUUCUUCACAUGGUCAUCAAAGACUUGGCCAGUUCCGCCUCUCCCGCGGCCGUCCUUGUCUCACCCAGCAUCACAUGACGCAUCAGUUCACCAACAAACACGAUUAAGUGCUGCUAGUGCUGGGUCCUGUUCUGGGGGCUGGUGAUGAGGCGAAGAGGGAAAGAGGGAGCUCUGUGUUCCGUCGAGGGGGCGACAAGCCUGGACCAGAUGAAAGUGACUCAUGUUGUUAAUUAGCGGCUUAGGGCCAAAGGUGGCCCCUGGACCAGUGGCCUCAGCAUCACCUGGGAAAAGGUUAGAAAUGAACAUUCCCAGGCCCCACCUCAGCCUCCUGAAUCAGAGCAUCCCUUUGGCAAACCAUACUGAGAAACAACCACGUGCAUCACCAAGCGCUGUGAAGAAGGCAAGCUUUGAGACCUUGAAGGAAUCAUCAAACUCUGGGCCUCGGUGUGCUCACCCAGGGCGAGACAAAGACGCCAUGCUCCUCCAAGUGGCCUCCAAGAUUAAAUGAGCAAUGACUUUUUUUUUUUUUU